CACAUUUUGAAGAAAAGGAGACAUACAGUUGAAUGACCUUUCCUCCAGCUGCUUUUCUUUUACUUCAAGAGUAACAGAACACCAGAGAAGAAACAAUUUGUUCUGUAGAGUCACCAUUUGUCAGAAACAAGCAGGAGGGACAAUAAAUUGCAAAGCAAGCUCUGUUUCAAUGAGCCUCGACCAUCUGCUGUUAAUUGAGAUGUUUGAACACCUCAUGAAAAACAGACUCAUGAAUCUCUGUUUUACAUAUCUGCAGUAUUUCCAAGCACAGGCUGUCCUCCAUCUGAAGUUUCAUGAUGUAAGUCCAGUAUUCAUAUAGAUGCUCUGAAGGCAAGAGAAACAGGGAAGUGCUUUCCUGUCAUCCAGGUGUGCAUUUGUCUGUGGGGAAGCCUGCCAACCUGCUGGCAUACCUGACGUGAUCUGUCCUGCCCUCCACACCUGGGAAGUGCUAGUGGGGUACACGUUGACAUAACUGGGGAGGAAGCAAGUUUUCUCUUCUCUGACUGAGCUUUCUAAACAGUUCCUACUCAGAGGUGGCCCUCUUUCCCCCCAGGCCAUUUCUUCUCCACUCCACACUCUGCAACAUGACUGUAGUCUCAGCCUGAUACAAAAUCCUGCAAGCUUGUUUUGCUGUGAACCCAAUAAUUUGUGUCAAGAAUGCUUUUCUUUCAAACCCUG
RNAcentral lists this long non-coding RNA (678 nucleotides) under Cyanistes caeruleus (blue tit). RNAcentral's name for it is "lncRNA (ENSCCEG00000011454.1)". The record is from RNAcentral. Lineage: Eukaryota; Metazoa; Chordata; Aves; Passeriformes; Paridae.